RNAcentral lists this ribosomal RNA (352 nucleotides) under uncultured bacterium. RNAcentral's name for it is "bacterial SSU rRNA". It matches the Rfam family "Bacterial small subunit ribosomal RNA", at positions 359 to 727 of the family's 1533-position model. The record is from RNAcentral.
GAAUCAUUCACAAUGGGGGAAACCCUGAUGGUGCGACGCCGCGUGGGGGAUAAGGUCUUCGGAUUGUAAACCCCUGUCAUGUGGGACAUUAAAAAGAUAGUACCACAAGAGGAAGAGACGGCUAACUCUGUGCCAGCAGCCGCGGUAAUACAGAGGUCUCAAGCGUUGUUCGGAAUCACUGGGCGUAAAGCGUGCGUAGGCUGUUUCGUAAGUCGUGUGUGAAAGGCGCGGGCUCAACCCGCGGACGGCACAUGAUACUGCGAGACUAGAGUAAUGGAGGGGGAACCGGAAUUCUCGGUGUAGCAGUGAAAUGCGUAGAUAUCGAGAGGAACACUCGUGGCGAAGGCGGGUU